RNAcentral lists this ribosomal RNA (253 nucleotides) under uncultured bacterium. RNAcentral's name for it is "partial 16S ribosomal RNA". It matches the Rfam family "Bacterial small subunit ribosomal RNA", at positions 524 to 776 of the family's 1533-position model. The record is from RNAcentral.
UACGUAGGCAGCAAGCGUUGUUCGGAGUUAUUGGGCGUAAAGGGCUCGUAGGCGGUUUGUCACGUCGGGAGUGAAAACUCGGGGCUCAACCCCGAGCCUGCUUCCGAUACGGGCAGACUAGAGGUAUGCAGGGGAGAAUGGAAUUCCUGGUGUAGCGGUGAAAUGCGCAGAUAUCAGGAGGAACACCGGUGGCGAAGGCGGGUCUCUGGGCAUUAACUGACGCUGAGGAGCGAAAGCAUGGGGAGCGAACAGG